AAAAAAAAAAAAAAAAAAAAAACCAAUUUUGAAACCCGUCACAGGUUGGCAUUCUAGUCAGGCAGUAUAGCAACUGUAACAUUUGUAAUUGUUUUAGAUCAAUUUUCUCAAAUUAUUGUUUAUAUGAAUUCCAUAAUCUGAAACAUGAAAAAGAAAAAUAAUAAAAAGCAUUGUUUAUUUGUUGGUUUAUUCUCUUGUCCCUUUUAGGUGGGGUGGGGAGGUUAACCUAAGCAAUGCAAGCUUUAAGCCUUC
This 252-nucleotide unclassified non-coding RNA is filed under the name Hevea brasiliensis (rubber tree). The record is from RNAcentral. Lineage: Eukaryota; Viridiplantae; Streptophyta; Magnoliopsida; Malpighiales; Euphorbiaceae.